RNAcentral lists this ribosomal RNA (515 nucleotides) under uncultured bacterium. RNAcentral's name for it is "bacterial SSU rRNA". It matches the Rfam family "Bacterial small subunit ribosomal RNA", at positions 409 to 916 of the family's 1533-position model. The record is from RNAcentral.
AGAAGGCCUUCGGGUCGUAAGCCCUUUCGGACGGGACGAACGCUCCGCGGUGACAACCCGCGGAGCCUGACGGUACCGUAAGAAGAAGCACCGGCUAACUCCGUGCCAGCAGCCGCGGUAAUACGGAGGGUGCAAGCGUUGUUCGGAAUUACUGGGCGUAAAGCGCGUGUAGGCGGCCUUGCAAGCCAGACGUGAAAGCCCUCGGCUUAACCGGGGAAGUGCGUCUGGAACUGCUCGGCUCGAGUACGGGAGAGGGAGGCGGAAUUCCCAGUGUAGAGGUGAAAUUCGUAGAUAUUGGGAGGAACACCGGUGGCGAAAGCGGCCUCCUGGACCGAUACUGACGCUGAGACGCGAAAGCGUGGGGAGCAAACAGGAUUAGAUACCCUGGUAGUCCACGCUGUAAACGAUGGGCACUAGGUGUUCGGGGUAUUGACCCCCCGGGUGCCGCAGCUAACGCAUUAAGUGCCCCGCCUGGGGACUACGGCCGCAAGGUUAAAACUUAAAGGAAUUGACGG